This 348-nucleotide long non-coding RNA is filed under the name Mus musculus (house mouse). Its description in RNAcentral is "long non-coding RNA chr2:154782331-154782679". Lineage: Eukaryota; Metazoa; Chordata; Mammalia; Rodentia; Muridae. The record is from RNAcentral.
AGAGGGAGGGUGCCUUCCCUCAGAAGAUGAAAUUUGAUCGUCUGUCUAUGUCUCUCUUCUCAGAACUUUCUUCUCUGAACCUAGUCCAGAUUUAAAUUUUGCAGCUCUGCCUGGCAGGAUCAGGCUGUCAGAGCAGCGGACUAAGUUUUAACUAGUUUUUAAUCACUUGGAUUGGCAUGCCUGUGUGCCUGUGGAAAGGGAUUCGCUGUGGGCAGGAGGACAGAAUGUUCUGAUUGGCAAGGCCUGAGCCAGGCACCAUGAGUCCCCUGAUUGGAUUCAAAACUGAGACGUUUUCAGGCCACCUGGUCAAGAAUUGCUGAAGGGCAUCAAAUAAAACCAUCUGGGACC